GGAACGAAAUUUUGCCAAUUUGGCAGUUCGAUCUAUGAUUUCACAUUCAUGGACAUUGAUAAGAUCCUUCCAUUUAGUAGCACCUUAGGAUGGCAUAGCCUUAACGUUAAUGGUGAGGUUCAAAAGAGGAAAGGCUUGCGGUGGAUACCUAGGCACCCAGAGACAAGGAAGGGCGUAGCAAGCGAUGAAAUGCUUCGGGGAGUUGAAAAUAAGCAUAGAUCCGGAGAUUCCCAAAUAGGUCAACCUUUUACCUGCUGA
RNAcentral lists this ribosomal RNA (258 nucleotides) under Triticum aestivum (bread wheat). RNAcentral describes it as "partial small subunit ribosomal RNA". The stretch from base 118 to 258 matches the Rfam family "Bacterial large subunit ribosomal RNA", at positions 1 to 141 of the family's 2925-position model. The record is from RNAcentral. Lineage: Eukaryota; Viridiplantae; Streptophyta; Magnoliopsida; Poales; Poaceae.